CGGCACGGGUGAGUAACGCGUAGGAAUAUGCCUUGAAGAGUGGGACAACUUGGGGAAACUCAAGCUAAUACCGCAUAAUCUCUUAGGAGGAAAGCUGGGGACCUUCGGGCCUGGCGCUUUAAGAUUAGCCUGCGUCCGAUUAGCUAGUUGGUAGGGUAAGGGCCUACCAAGGCGACGAUCGGUAGCUGGUCUGAGAGGAUGGCCAGCCACACUGGGACUGAGACACGGCCCAG
This 233-nucleotide ribosomal RNA is filed under the name uncultured bacterium. RNAcentral describes it as "partial 16S ribosomal RNA". It matches the Rfam family "Bacterial small subunit ribosomal RNA", at positions 100 to 334 of the family's 1533-position model. The record is from RNAcentral.